AUGCUCAGAAGGAGAAUGCCUGUUAUAAGUUAUAGGCACCAACUGCACGGAGCGGCCGCAGCGAGCGGGAGGAGUCCGACCCCGAACUACAACUCCCAGAAGGCACCGCGGGAACACCCGUCCUCAGCAGCCAAUCAGCGUGCGCGCUGCCGUCCUAUAAAAGCUCACGGCGGGCCGCCCUCCGUCUCUCUUAGCGAUGGCGGCUGGUGGGUGCGUCGGCUGCUAUGCGGAGGCAAUCCGCCGCCAUCCGCCCUCUGUCGAGGCCAUCCCGCCUCACAGCCCCGCCGCGUUGGUGCCCCGGGGGCUCGGCGGAAUGACGUGGCUCCCUCCGUGCUGAUGGGGCCGAGGCCGCAGUGGGGAGCGGUGUGGAGAUGCUGCUCAUGGAGGCGGUGCUGGGCAGGAUUUCUCGCUGUUUGGAGCUCACUGCCUGCCUGCCGAUAG
RNAcentral lists this long non-coding RNA (441 nucleotides) under Pavo cristatus (Indian peafowl). RNAcentral's name for it is "lncRNA (ENSPSTG00000005737.1)". The record is from RNAcentral. Lineage: Eukaryota; Metazoa; Chordata; Aves; Galliformes; Phasianidae.